This 651-nucleotide long non-coding RNA is filed under the name Citrus sinensis (sweet orange). RNAcentral's name for it is "long non-coding RNA (CSIN_LNC002053)". The record is from RNAcentral. Lineage: Eukaryota; Viridiplantae; Streptophyta; Magnoliopsida; Sapindales; Rutaceae.
UCGAAACAGGCAUUUGUUAGUGAAUGAUGAAACUUGAAAUAUAACUUAUCCUUUGAGAAUUACAAACUGUAAGAUGUAUGAUUGAUCAGUUUGAAACCACGAUGCUUCUUCUUUAUGUUAUUGUAUGAUCUAAUUCUAGCAUCGGCACAGCUGGUACGGUACGUAGAACGUAUGAUUUGUGUUUAAAAAAAUAGCUUACAACAGAUUUAAAUUAAUCGUCGGUUAUGGUUUGUGUUUCGUUGUGUUUGCUUUGUCGAAAUUUUGAGCUGAGGAAGACCAAGAUCAUGUGCUGUACAGGUUAUCUUUUGCACAAAUAAUUUGGUGUUGGCUUGGUAGUACUAGUGCCCUCUGCUUCAGCAUUUAGUGCUAAACACGGUCUCCCUUCCUUUCUUUAAAGCUCAGGGUUCGGGAAAUUAGCUGGUGCUCUCCUCCAACUGGUUGGGUUACGGCCAAUUUUGACGGCAGGAAGACUUUAAUUAGAGCCAGGAAAAUGGGUCAUCGGUCUAGUGGCGAAUCAACAUACGACCAGUGGAGGAAGCUUUGCUGGAAAAAUAAAAAAUAAAAAAAAGUUCUAAAAACUAAGGAAAAAUUACUUUGAUUUUUAAUUAGCGCCCAUUAAAUCUAUAAUUUCAAAAACCCAUAAAAGUUAAA